This 253-nucleotide ribosomal RNA is filed under the name uncultured bacterium. RNAcentral's name for it is "partial 16S ribosomal RNA". It matches the Rfam family "Bacterial small subunit ribosomal RNA", at positions 524 to 776 of the family's 1533-position model. The record is from RNAcentral.
UACGGAGGGGGCUAGCGUUAUUCGGAAUUACUGGGCGUAAAGCGCACGUAGGCGGCUUUGUAAGUAAGAGGUGAAAGCCCGGAGUUCAACUCCGGAACUGCCUUUUAGACUGCAUCGCUUGAAUCCAGGAGAGGUGAGUGGAAUUCCGAGUGUAGAGGUGAAAUUCGUAGAUAUUCGGAAGAACACCAGUGGCGAAGGCGGCUCACUGGACUGGUAUUGACGCUGAGGUGCGAAAGCGUGGGGAGCAAACAGG